UGCGCUUCAURUGCAAACGAUUCUUCCGGUCAGAAGUCACAGCUAAUUUUAAAAAUGAUUUUAUAAACUUAUUUGGAGAAAUAUAAAUAGAACAUAAAACUGUCCAACAGCAAAAAGGAACAAAAUAAAAUCCUUGGGUUAGUCAGACCUGCCAGUGAUCAAAGCCUUUGUGAUUAUGCCGACUUGAACAUGUUAGCGCUGACCCCUGACCUCCCAGACCAGCCUGACUCCUGUGAAGCAGUCAAAGUCAGCAGCAGCCAUGACCUCUAACCCCGCAGACCAGCCUGACUCCUUCCUGUGAACCAGGCGGGGGGCGGCGGCCCGUCACCGUCCCACAAUAAACACCAUCCAUCAUCCUCGCUGCCAUUAGCCGCUGACAGGCCGCACCACCGCCGCCUGCAUAAUGUGGAGCCUCCUCCUGCUUCCUGUUCGCUCCACGCCGCAUUGGCCGUGCCGGACAGAGGAGGACCAGGCCGGAGCAGAACUUCCUGCAUAACGGGCCCGACGCUGCAAAAACUAAAAUGUUACCAAAUAGUUUGGUCUGAAUUCUACUGCAGAUUUCUUAAUACAGUUGAAAUGAGUCAAAACUAACUGACAGGGAAGUUUACAGCAACAUAGAGGAGCUUGAUUCAGGAAAUAUAUUCAAUAUUUAUGAAAUGUAUAAUCAGAAUAAAA
Molecule: non-coding RNA, 675 nt
Organism: Poecilia reticulata (guppy)
Lineage: Eukaryota; Metazoa; Chordata; Actinopteri; Cyprinodontiformes; Poeciliidae
Source: RefSeq, a predicted model, not a curated record